GACGAACGCUGGCGACGCGCCUAACACAUGCAAGUCGAACGGAGCUGAGAGAAGCUUGCUUUUCUUAGCUUAGUGGCGAACGGGUGAGUAACGCGUGAGUAACCUGCCCUGGAGUGGGGGACAACAGUUGGAAACGACUGCUAAUACCGCAUAAGCCCACGAUCCGGCAUCGGAUUGAGGGAAAAGGAUUUAUUCGCUUCAGGAUGGACUCGCGUCCAAUUAGCUAGUUGGUGAGGUAACGGCCCACCAAGGCGACGAUUGGUAGCCGGACUGAGAGGUUGAACGGCCACAUUGGGACUGAGACACGGCCCAGACUCCUACGGGAGGCAGCAGUGGGGGAUAUUGCACAAUGGGGGAAACCCUGAUGCAGCGACGCCGCGUGGAGGAAGAAGGUUUUCGGAUUGUAAACUCCUGUCGUUAGGGACGAUAAUGACGGUACCUAACAAGAAAGCACCGGCUAACUACGUG
This 468-nucleotide ribosomal RNA is filed under the name uncultured bacterium. RNAcentral describes it as "partial 16S ribosomal RNA". It matches the Rfam family "Bacterial small subunit ribosomal RNA", at positions 28 to 507 of the family's 1533-position model. The record is from RNAcentral.